Molecule: small RNA, 50 nt
Filed under: Staphylococcus aureus
Lineage: Bacteria; Bacillati; Bacillota; Bacilli; Caryophanales; Staphylococcaceae
Description: HMPRFS0000_0722
Source: RNAcentral
CCCUUUCACAACUUAUUUCAAAUCACUUCGUGAUCAAUCUAUAUUUUAAU